This 303-nucleotide ribosomal RNA is filed under the name Heterosigma akashiwo. Its description in RNAcentral is "partial Bacterial small subunit ribosomal RNA". It matches the Rfam family "Bacterial small subunit ribosomal RNA", at positions 327 to 622 of the family's 1533-position model. The record is from RNAcentral. Lineage: Eukaryota; Raphidophyceae; Chattonellales; Chattonellaceae.
CGGCCCAGACUCCUACGGGAGGCAGCAGUGGGGAAUUUUGGACAAUGGGCGCAAGCCUGAUCCAGCCAUGCCGCGUGUGUGAAGAAGGCUCUAGGGUUGUAAAGCACUUUCAGUAGGGAGGAAGGCCAGAGUGUUAAUAGCGCUUUGGAUUGACGUUACCUACAGAAGCAGCACCGGCUAACUCCGUGCCAGCAGCCGCGGUAAUACGGAGGGUGCAAGCGUUAAUCGGAAUUACUGGGCGUAAAGCGCACGCAGGCGGUUUGUUAAGCUAGAUGUGAAAGCCCCGGGCUCAACCUGGGAACU